Long non-coding RNA from Megalobrama amblycephala (Wuchang bream), 801 nucleotides. RefSeq lists it as uncharacterized. NCBI's taxonomy places the organism in Eukaryota, Metazoa, Chordata, Actinopteri, Cypriniformes, Xenocyprididae. The record is from RefSeq and is a predicted model, not a curated record. The transcript has 3 exons.
UUUCAUUUUUGAGUGAACUAACCCUUUUUGAAAAAAAUACUAUUAUCGUCUCCAUGUAAACUACAAAAACACGAAUUUGUGAAAACGGUGAUGAUAUGAUAUGUGCAUGUGUAUUGCGUGUUCAGUCUAUAGGAAUGUAGUUUUCUUUACAAAGUGAAAUUGCUAACUACUGGCCUGGCAUGUAUAAUACAGAGUUUUUAGUUGUUUAGCGGUGCUGUGUAAACGUCAAUCAUUUUGACAAUUUAUACAUAAAUAAUAAUGCUUUUUUUUUUUUGAGAAUUGCUUCAUAACACAGCAUUGCAGUUCUCAUCAUACUGUAAGAUGAUUCUGAGAAGAAUUCUGAUUCCUCUGCCCAUUGACCACUUCUUGCAAGCCAAGGGCGAUGAUGUCAGGGUGAAAGUAAUCAUGACUGUGCACGGAAACUCACAUCAUACACAAACCCACACACAUGCUACACACUCACAAACACAUACUUCCAUUCCUGUGAACAAACCCAAGAGACCAGCUCUGGGUGUAGAGCAAGAACUGUAUCACAGAUGUUGUGAAAGUGUUUGGCACUUUGCUCACCAUAGCAGAGGCUAUAAAUCUGAUGUUGUGGUCUGAAUUUGGAAUGGUUUUGAAGUUAUGGUGACAAGACCUCUCCACCCAAAUCCCUCAUGUGGCUAUGCGUGUGAAUGCAAACUCCUUUACAAUACAAGAAUGAUUGUCAGCAAAGAUGGUUCCUUCAGAGCAUGUGAAAGGGCACAUUAUCCUGCUGAAAGAGGCCACAGCCAUCAGGGAAUACCGUUUCCAUGAAAGGGU